This is a long non-coding RNA of Glycine soja, 668 nucleotides long. RefSeq lists it as uncharacterized. The transcript has 2 exons. NCBI's taxonomy places the organism in Eukaryota, Viridiplantae, Streptophyta, Magnoliopsida, Fabales, Fabaceae. The record is from RefSeq and is a predicted model, not a curated record.
UCCAUCUUUCUCUUCUGAAUCUUCUUCUCUUUUCCUUUUAUUCUUUUUGUUUCUUCCUUCAUGCAGGCGAUUCCAGCUCCAUGUCCGCAAGUUGCUGAGGACGAGUUUUUACCACAGCACAUUGACCUCAGGUAUUUCCUUCUUUUUUCCUUUUUUUUUCUUUCACGACAGCUUGGUAUCUAAUUUUUUUUAACCUUCAUUUUCUCUGCGAGUAUUUUCCGCUAUGGCCGAAGAAUUUGUGAAUGGCUUUGUUCAUCAAAAUGACAUUGCUGUUCAGAUUCAAAAUAGAAAGUAAAUUAGGUGACUGAUGAAAUUUCCAAAAUAGGUACUUGCAUACACAAAAAAUUGGUACUUCCAUGAGGGUCACAGAUGAUUAAAGUUCAAUUUCAUUAUUUAAUCUCUUAUUCUCUUUCAGGGAGAUUCACCAGCAUAGAUACAGAUUUAAAUGUCUUGAAGAAGAGGAUAGAGACGCUGCAUUUGUAAUAACCUUGAGUUCUUUUGAUAAAAUUUAUGUUCAAAAACCUUGGACGGGUUGCUGGUGUUCUUUUUCCUAUUACUUUAUUCUUUGAAAUUAAUGUUACUAUUAUUCAAUAUUUGAUGCUUGUCCUUAUACUGCAAAAUUUGUGUGUAACUGCAGCACAUCAGCCUAUUAAAGAGAUAUUAGAAAA